CGCGUAGGCGGCUCACUAAGUCGGAUGUGAAAACUCUGGGCUCAACCCAGAGCCUGCAUCCGAAACUAUUGGGCUAGAGUUCUGGAGGGGGAAGCGGAAUUCCUGGUGUAGCGGUGAAAUGCGUAGAUAUCAGGAGGAACACCGGUGGCGAAGGCGGCUUUCUGGACAGAAACUGACGCUGAGGCGCGAAAGCUAGGGAGCAAACA
This 206-nucleotide ribosomal RNA is filed under the name uncultured bacterium. Its description in RNAcentral is "partial 16S ribosomal RNA". It matches the Rfam family "Bacterial small subunit ribosomal RNA", at positions 568 to 774 of the family's 1533-position model. The record is from RNAcentral.